RNAcentral lists this ribosomal RNA (460 nucleotides) under uncultured bacterium. Its description in RNAcentral is "partial 16S ribosomal RNA". It matches the Rfam family "Bacterial small subunit ribosomal RNA", at positions 338 to 795 of the family's 1533-position model. The record is from RNAcentral.
CCUACGGGAGGCUGCAGUGAGGAAUAUUGGUCAAUGGACGAGAGUCUGAACCAGCCAAGUCGCGUGAAGGAUGACUGCCCUAUGAGUUGUAAACUUCUUUUAUAUGAGGAUAAACUGUUCCACGUGUGGGAGGUUGUAUGUACCAUAUGAAUAAGGAUCGGCUAACUCCGUGCCAGCAGCCGCGGUAAUACGGAGGAUCCGAGCGUUAUCCGGAUUUAUUGGGUUUAAAGGGUGCGUAGGUGGUUUGUUAAGUCAGUUGUGAAAGUUUGGGGCUCAACCGUAAAAUUGCAGUUGAUACUGGUAGUCUUGAGUAUAGUAGAGGUGGGCGGAAUGCGUGGUGUAGCGGUGAAAUGCUUAGAGAUCACGCAGAACUCCGAUUGCGAAGGCAGUUCACUGGACUGCAACUGACACUGAGGCUCGAAAGUGUGGGUAUCAAACAGGAUUAGAUACCCGAGUAGUC